Oxyura jamaicensis (ruddy duck) is the source of this 390-nucleotide long non-coding RNA. RefSeq lists it as uncharacterized. The record is from RefSeq and is a predicted model, not a curated record. The transcript is spliced from 3 exons. NCBI's taxonomy places the organism in Eukaryota, Metazoa, Chordata, Aves, Anseriformes, Anatidae.
UAACCCUGUAGUCAGGUGGCUCAAAGAAAGUAAUUCCCAUCAACGUGAGCAAGUUCUCUGUUGUGUAUGGCUGGGGCAGAGCGCCGGACCCGCUCUCCCUUUUGCUCCAUUUCAUUUCCCUGCCCUCUUCAUUAGCUGCUGACAGUUUUAGCUUCCUACAUCCAUUUAAAGAGAUUCCCCCUGCACAUCAUCUGGGAUUCAUGAACUGCAGAGAUGUGGCUAUUUUCAACUUUAAGCCACAGUUAAUCCAUGACCUUGGUGCUUUUGUCUCCAGGUCUAAAUUAUGAUUCUUGCCAAGUGGACACAAAGACGACUGAAGCAAGAAUGUAGCCCAUACUCUGCAGUGGCCACUGCAAUUGUAAUUGAAUAAAAUCUGCUGACUGGGGGGGG